CCGCUUGGUUGGGGGGCGCGCGUAGGCGGUUUUUUAGUCUGAUGUGAAAGCCCACGGCUCAACCGUGGAGGGUCAUUGGAAACUGGAAAACUUGAGUGCAGAAGAGGAAAGUGGAAUUCCAUGUGUAGCGGUGAAAUGCGCAGAGAUAUGGAGGAACACCAGUGGCGAAGGCGACUUUCUGGUCUGUAACUGACGCUGAUGUGCGACCGAA
This 211-nucleotide ribosomal RNA is filed under the name Staphylococcus aureus. RNAcentral describes it as "partial 16S ribosomal RNA". It matches the Rfam family "Bacterial small subunit ribosomal RNA", at positions 565 to 761 of the family's 1533-position model. The record is from RNAcentral. Lineage: Bacteria; Bacillati; Bacillota; Bacilli; Caryophanales; Staphylococcaceae.